Molecule: non-coding RNA, 327 nt
Organism: Marinitoga piezophila KA3
Lineage: Bacteria; Thermotogati; Thermotogota; Thermotogae; Petrotogales; Petrotogaceae
Rfam family: Bacterial RNase P class A
About the family: Ribonuclease P (RNase P) is a ubiquitous endoribonuclease, found in archaea, bacteria and eukarya as well as chloroplasts and mitochondria. Its best characterised activity is the generation of mature 5'-ends of tRNAs by cleaving the 5'-leader elements of precursor-tRNAs.
Source: Rfam
AAAGUGGGACGAUCGGUCGCGUGGCAGCAUACUCGCAUGCCAUGAGGAAAGUCCGGACUCUGAGGGCGGGAUGCCGGUUAACUGCCGGGAGGAGUGAUCCUCGGAAAGGGCCAUAGAAACGAAAACCGCCGAAUAUGGCAAGGGUGGAAAGGUGAGGUAAGAGCUCACCGGCAUCAGGGUAACCUGAUGGCCUGGUAACCCCCAUCCUGAGCAAGGUCAAAUAGGAAGGUUAAGCUUGCCCGGCUUGCCUUUUAUGGCGCCUUCCAGGUAGACCGCUUAGAUAAAUGACCGACAAAACAGAAUCCGGCUUACCGUCCCACUUUUUUU